RNAcentral lists this ribosomal RNA (776 nucleotides) under uncultured Neocallimastigales. RNAcentral's name for it is "partial large subunit ribosomal RNA". It matches the Rfam family "Eukaryotic large subunit ribosomal RNA", at positions 24 to 644 of the family's 3401-position model. Lineage: Eukaryota; Fungi; Neocallimastigomycota; Neocallimastigomycetes; Neocallimastigales. The record is from RNAcentral.
UAUGUGAUCGUCUCUCGCAUAUCAAUAAGCGGAGGAAAAGAAACUAACAAGGAUUCCCCUAGUAACGGCGAGUGAAGCGGGAAGAGCUCAAAUUUGAAAUCUUAAAGGGUUUCCCUUUACGAAUUGUAGUUUAAAGAAGUGUUUUCUGUUGAGGUUUUGGUAAAAGUUCUUUGGAAUAGGACAUCAUAGAGGGUGAGAAUCCCGUAUUUGACCUUUACUUUCAACUUUGUGAUACACUUUCAAAGAGUCGGAUUGUUUGGGAAUGCAGUCCAAAAUGGGUGGUAAAUUUCAUCUAAAGCUAAAUAUUGGCGAGAGACCGAUAGCGAACAAGUACCGUGAGGGAAAGAUGAAAAGAGCUUUGAAAAGAGAGUUAAACAGUACGUGAAAUUGUCAAAAGGGAAGCGUUUGACACCAGUGUUGUUUUUCUGAAAAUCAAUUAAAGAACUGUUUAUGCUAAGCUGUUUAGACUUUAUCAGCUAAUCUGUUUAGUUUUGAGCUUUUCUUUAAUGCACUUUUCAGUUAACAAGUCAACAUCAAUUUCUUUUGCUGUAAAAAAGCUUGAGGAAGGUGGCUUGAGAUUCGUCUUAAGUGUUUAUAGUCCUCCUGCCUAUGCAGUCGGAGAGAUUGAGGUCUGCAGCGUAGAUCCUUCGGGGCUAAAUGCAUUUGUGCUAAGUUAUAGCAUUUUAUAGACAACUUGUUGACUAUGAUUUGUCUUGUAGCUUACUCGCUUAUGUUAUUUUACCUACGCUUAGGAUGUUGAAGAUAUGCGCGACACG